CCUACGGGCGGCAGCAGUGGGGAAUAUUGCACAAUGGGGGAAACCCUGAUGCAGCGACGCCGCGUGCGUGAAGACGUAAUUCGUAAUGUAAAGCUCUAUCAGCAGGGAGGAAAAUGACGGUACCUGAGUCAGAAGCCCCGGCUAACUACGUGCCAGCAGCCGCGGUAAUACGGAGGAGGCAAGCGUUAUCCGGAUUUACUGGGUGUAAAGGGAGCGUAGACGGCAUUGCAAGUCUGGAGUGAAAGGCGGGGGCUCAACCCCCGGACUGCUCCGGAAACUGUACGGCUGGAGUGAAGGAGAGGUAGGUGGAAUGUCUAGUGUAGCGGUGAAAUGCGUAGAGAUUAGGCGGAACACCAGUGGCGAAGGCGGCUUACUGGACUGUAACUGACGUUGAGGCUCGAAAGCGUGGGUAGCAAACAGGAUUAGAUACCCCAGUAGUC
This 440-nucleotide ribosomal RNA is filed under the name uncultured bacterium. RNAcentral describes it as "partial 16S ribosomal RNA". It matches the Rfam family "Bacterial small subunit ribosomal RNA", at positions 338 to 795 of the family's 1533-position model. The record is from RNAcentral.